Molecule: RNA transcript, 2692 nt
Organism: Triticum aestivum (bread wheat)
Lineage: Eukaryota; Viridiplantae; Streptophyta; Magnoliopsida; Poales; Poaceae
Gene name: probable protein phosphatase 2C 39
Exons: 7
Source: RefSeq, a predicted model, not a curated record
AUAAAUCACUGAGCUCGUUGCUUCCAUCUCCCUCCCUCCUCCAGUCCUCCUCCUCUCUCGCCCACCACCACCAUUAUAUUCUCCUCGGCCCACACCACAAUUCCCCCCAUCGUCCACACCACACCCGUCUCGUCCUAGCUCCCUACUCCUCCCGCUCGCCACUCCUCCGCCCCAGCUCUGCUCGCCCUCGACCGCGGGUCGCCAGGAAGGGCCUUCAGGAACGGGAUUUUUACCUAGGAGCAAAAUUUGGGUUUUAAAUCGCAGAUUGGAUUUGGGUUCAGGGAUGAGGGGAGAGGAGGGGCUGCAUCACCUGGCCCGGUUCCCAUCUCUCUGAACUUAGAUGGAUGCAUCUGUGAAGUCCAAGAAGGUUAGCUCUUGUGGAAACACCGGUCAUAGCCGCUGCGGCGAAGUUCAUAAACCUGUCCUGCCGUGUCGCAUGCGGGAUCGCUGCUUGAAUAGAAAUAAUCCCUUCUCACUUCAGGUCUGGUUUGCAUUUCCUUUUAAGUAUAAAAGCAACUGUAUUCAGCAUGACAUUUGAGUAAGCAUCAGAACCUCAAAGGCCAAGUUUGUCAGCAAUAUUAUACCGUUAUUGGUGUAACACUUCCAUAGAGAAGAUGGUGGAUGACCUGUUUUAUGAGGGCAACACUGAUCACAGCAUCAGCUCUGAGGACGAAGACACACUUGUCAGGAGUUGUAGUAAUCUCAGCGUAAGCUUUGGAUAUCAUUGCAAUUCUUAUCAGAGUUUCCCUCUUGAAAAUGAUGAGCAUGAUACCUCUCCCCAGAUGAGGUUUGAAACUAAUGCCAUGACUAAGUCACGAAAUGGCUCAUUUACUUGUUUAUCUGGUGCCGCAAUUAGUGCAAAUUUCACCCUGGCCAAUACAAAUAUAUGCAAGGGUCUUAUUGGGGAAGAAAUUUUACCAGAACUAGAUUCUCCAAAUUCUUUCAGAAAAAUCGUCUCUUCUCCAUCUAUGUCAAGGUUGGACUUGCUAUCCACCUCACAAGGCAGCCCUGCAUCAACUGAGAGCUCCAUAUUUGAAAUCAGUAAAAAUCUUUGGAGGUCCAGCGCUCCAACAACUGUAUCAUCCAAUUUUCUGACUGGUACCGAGGUAAAGAUGGCUGGUGGAGCUGCUGGAGAGGAUAGAGUUCAAGCUGUGUGCUCUGAAAAAAAUGGAUGGUUGAUUUGUGGAAUUUAUGAUGGAUUUAAUGGACGAGAUGCAGCUGAUUUUCUGGCAGUAACUCUAUAUGAUAACAUAGUAUAUUACCUAUACUUGUUAGAGUGCCGUAUCAAGCAACAAGAUGGCCUAUGUAGCUCAUCAGAGGACUCCCCUAAUGGUGUUAAAAGUGAGUUAACAUUAGCCAUGGAAAUUGCAGAGAAUGAAGAUGUAAAACUUUCUGAAAGUUUUCGAGCUGGUGUGCUGAAUUGCCUCACUUCUGCUGUUGAGCAAGCUGAGAAUGAUUUCUUAUGCAUGGUUGAACAGGAUAUGGAUGAUAGACCAGAUUUAGUUUCAGUUGGAUCUUGUGUCCUGGUUGUGCUUCUUCAGGGAACAGAUUUGUGCAUUCUAAAUCUUGGGGAUAGUAGAGCUGUGCUUGCUUCCAUGCCAUAUGCAGAAAUGGAUACAGUGAAAGCUACUCAAUUGACAGAGAUCCACUCACUUGAAAAUCCAUUGGAAUACCAAAAACUAUUAGCUGACCAUCCUAAUGACUCUAAAGUUGUGAUGGGUAACAAAGUAAAAGGGAAGCUGAAGGUUACUCGUGCUUUUGGAGUUGGCUACCUUAAACAGAAAAAGUUCAAUGAUGCACUCAUGGGGAUUCUCCGAGUUCGUAAUUUGUGCAGCCCGCCUUACGUAUAUACAAAUCCACACACACUGAGUCACAAGGUUACGGAAGACGAUCUGUUUGUUGUGCUUGGCAGUGAUGGCUUGUUUGAUUUCUUCACUAAUGAUGAAGUUGUUCAGUUGGUUUACCAAUUUAUGCAUGAUAAUCCAACUGGCGAUCCUGCAAAAUAUCUCAUUGAGCAAGUUGUACAUAAAGCUGCCAAAGAAGCAGCUUUAACAGCCGAACAGUUGAUGAGGAUACCUGUUGGGAGCAGAAGAAAGUACCAUGACGAUGUGACUGUCAUUGUUAUCAUCCUUGGGAACGCACGAAGGACGGACUUUGGAGGUAGGAGUAGUCCAGGAUCGGAGAGAGAUAGAGAGCGUCCAUGGACGUGUUCAUACACGAGGACUACGUGAACAAGCGCAACAUGGUGAAGAGGGAGCAGAGGAAGAAGACGCAGUUGCAGGUGCUGCAGCUGGGCAGCCCAGGCGCAUGCCGGCCGCCGCCGGCGCACAGGGAGGACAGCCUGGGAGCGGGAGCGCCGAGGCAGUGCCUGACGCCAACCGGCGUCUUACCUUCGUCCGCCGUCGGGUCUCCCGCGUCAGGCUCGUCGGAGGGAGCCAUCUCAUCGGAUCACCGCCGUCACCUCUUCGAUUGCCUGAAGCCGUACUAGGCAGGCAACAGAGGUUAUGUGUGAGGUUAAAGAAUAAACCUGGGGUUCUUCUGAUGGUGAAGUUUGUUGCAACCCAUUUUUGUGCUCGUAUUUCAGCUAUGUAUGUAUGGGCCGUUACAAGAUGAACCCUUGUGAAGAGUGUUGCCUGCUAUGAACAACUACAGCUUUUGGAAUGGAUUGUGUUACUGCAUUUAAACUCUCUAA